RNAcentral lists this ribosomal RNA (681 nucleotides) under uncultured bacterium. RNAcentral describes it as "bacterial SSU rRNA". It matches the Rfam family "Bacterial small subunit ribosomal RNA", at positions 44 to 701 of the family's 1533-position model. The record is from RNAcentral.
AUGCUUAACACAUGCAAGUCGAACGGUAACAGAUAAGAUGAUCUCUUCGGAGUAAAUCUUUGCUGACGAGUGGCGGACGGGUGAGUAAUGCUUGGGAAUCUGCCCAAUAGUGGGGGAAAACUCGGGGAAACCCGGGCUAAUACCGCAUAAUCUCUACGGAGGAAAGAGGGCCUCUACAUGUAAGCUCUCGCUAAUGGAUGAGCCCAAGUCAGAUUAGCUUGUUGGUAAGGUAAUGGCUUACCAAGGCUACGAUCUGUAGCUGGUCUGAGAGGACGACCAGCCACACUGGGACUGAGACACAGCCCAGACUCCUACGGGAGGCAGCAGUGGGGAAUAUUGCACAAUGGGCGCAAGCCUGAUGCAGCAAUGCCGCGUGUGUGAAGAAGGCUCUAGGGUUGUAAAGCACUUUCAAUAGAGAAGAAAAGCUUGAAAUUAAUACUUUCAAGCCUUGACGUAACCUAUACAAGAAGCACCGGCUAAUUCCGUGCCAGCAGCCGCGGUAAUACGUAGGGAGCGAGCGUUACCCGGAAUUACUGGGCGUAAAGAGCACGUAGGCGGUUGGAUAAGUCUUCUGUGAAAGCUCCUGGCUCAACUGGGAGAGGUCAGGGGAUACUAUUCGACUUGAGGGCUGUAGAGGUAAGCGGAAUUCCCGGUGUAGCGGUGAAAUGCGUAGAUAUCUGA